Molecule: ribosomal RNA, 914 nt
Filed under: uncultured bacterium
Lineage: Bacteria
Description: bacterial SSU rRNA
Rfam family: Bacterial small subunit ribosomal RNA
Source: RNAcentral
ACGCUGGCGGCAGGCUUAACACAUGCAAGUCGAACGGUAACAGGGAUUAGCUUGCUAAUUUGCUGACGAGUGGCGGACGGGUGAGUAAUGCUUGGGAAUCUGGCUUAUGGAGGGGGAUAACUACGGGAAACUGUAGCUAAUACCGCGUAAUAUCGGAAGAUUAAAGGGUGGGACUUUCGAGCCACCUGCCAUAAGAUGAGCCCAAGUGGGAUUAGGUAGUUGGUUAGGUAAAGGCUGACCAAGCCGACGAUCUCUAGCUGGUCUGAGAGGAUGACCAGCCACACUGGAACUGAGACACGGUCCAGACUCCUACGGGAGGCAGCAGUGGGGAAUAUUGCACAAUGGGGGGAACCCUGAUGCAGCCAUGCCGCGUGAAUGAAGAAGGCCUUCGGGUUGUAAAGUUCUUUCGGUGACGAGGAAGGUUGAUAGGUUAAUAGCCUAUCAAAUUGACGUUAAUCACAGAAGAAGCACCGGCUAACUCCGUGCCAGCAGCCGCGGUAAUACGGGGGGUGCGAGCGUUAAUCGGAAUAACUGGGCGUAAAGGGCACGCAGGCGGUGACUUAAGUGAGAUGUGAAAGCCCCGAGCUUAACUUGGGAAUUGCAUUUCAUACUGGGUCGCUAGAGUACUUUAGGGAGGGGUAGAAUUCCACGUGUAGCGGUGAAAUGCGUAGAGAUGUGGAGGGAUACCGAAGGCGAAGGCAGCCCCUUGGGAAUGUACUGACGCUCAUGUGCGAAAGCGUGGGGAGCAAACAGGAUUAGAUACCCUGGUAGUCCACGCUGUAAACGAUGUCGAUUUGGGGAUUGGGCUUUGAGCUUGGUGCCCGUAGCUAACGUGAUAAAUCGACCGCCUGGGGAGUACGGCCGCAAGGUUAAAACUCAAAUGAAUUGACGGGGGCCCGCACAAGCGGUGGAGC